RNAcentral lists this long non-coding RNA (395 nucleotides) under Equus caballus (horse). RNAcentral describes it as "lncRNA (ENSECAG00000046655.1)". Lineage: Eukaryota; Metazoa; Chordata; Mammalia; Perissodactyla; Equidae. The record is from RNAcentral.
CUCACUAGGACAUGGGAUAUCUCCAACUCAGGGAAAAGUUCUUUAAGGAGUCUGGUCAUCAGGGCUGUGAGGGAAAGGACAAGCAGAGGCAGGGACAAAUGGUCGCAACUGGACAUCAGAAGAAGAGAAGGACUAAAGCAUCUGAGGUCCUGUAGUUUAGUUUACCGACAACAUCUCCUAUAAUCACUAGAGAAAAAUUGAAAUACUAUCAAAAUUAAGACCCAAACUGGCUACGGGACAAGUGUUUGGCACAGACAUGAACAUGGAUGGAACAAAGAAGAUUAAAGGACAAGUAAGGCCACCAGGAAUUCUUGGUAGGUUUCCAUUGCCUCUGAGGCCCUGUUUGGAGGCAAGUAAAGGAUUUUAGGCUGGUUAUUUGUAAUAGAAAUUAUUGU